CCUACGGGGGACAGCAGUGAGGAAUAUUGGUCAAUGGGCGAGAGCCUGAACCAGCCAAGUCGCGUGAAGGAUGACGGCCCUACGGGUUGUAAACUUCUUUUGUCAGGGAGCAAUUGGGUCCACGCGUGGGCUUAGCGAGAGUACCUGAAGAAAAAGCAUCGGCUAACUCCGUGCCAGCAGCCGCGGUAAUACGGAGGAUGCGAGCGUUAUCCGGCUUUAUUGGGUUUAAAGGGUGCGUAGGCGGAAUAUCAAGUCAGCGGUAAAAAUUCGGGGCUCAACCCCGUCGUGCCGUUGAAACUGAUGUUCUGGAGUGGGCGAGAAGUAUGCGGAAUGCGUGGUGUAGCGGUGAAAUGCAUAGAUAUCACGCAGAACUCCGAUUGCGAAGGCAGCAUACCGGCGCCCAACUGACGCUGAAGCACGAAAGCGUGGGUAUCGAACAGGAUUAGAUACCCCAGUAGUC
This 460-nucleotide ribosomal RNA is filed under the name uncultured bacterium. RNAcentral's name for it is "partial 16S ribosomal RNA". It matches the Rfam family "Bacterial small subunit ribosomal RNA", at positions 338 to 795 of the family's 1533-position model. The record is from RNAcentral.